Molecule: small nuclear RNA, 163 nt
Organism: Erinaceus europaeus (western European hedgehog)
Lineage: Eukaryota; Metazoa; Chordata; Mammalia; Eulipotyphla; Erinaceidae
Gene: U1
Rfam family: U1 spliceosomal RNA
About the family: U1 is a small nuclear RNA (snRNA) component of the spliceosome (involved in pre-mRNA splicing). Its 5' end forms complementary base pairs with the 5' splice junction, thus defining the 5' donor site of an intron.
Source: Ensembl
ACACUUACCUAGAAGGGGAGAAAACAUGAUCAUGAAGGUAUUUUCCUAGGGCAAGGCUUAUCCAUUGCACUCUGGAUGUGCUGGCUCCUGUGAUUUCCCUAAAUGUGGGAAACUCGACCAUAUAAUUAGUGGUAGUGGGAGAAUGCAUUUGAGCUUUCACCUG